Molecule: ribosomal RNA, 473 nt
Filed under: uncultured bacterium
Lineage: Bacteria
Description: bacterial SSU rRNA
Rfam family: Bacterial small subunit ribosomal RNA
Source: RNAcentral
GAUGAACGCUAGCGGCAGGCUUAAUACAUGCAAGUCGAGGGGCAGCACGGGUAGCAAUACCUGGUGGCGACCGGCAAACGGGUGCGGAACACGUACGCAACUUUCCCAAAACUGGUGAAUAGCCCUCCGAAAGGAGGAUUAAUACACCGUAACAUAAUGAAGUGGCAUCACUUUAUUAUUAUAGCUCCGGCGGUUUUGGAUGGGCGUGCGCCUGAUUAGGUAGUUGGCGGGGUAACGGCCCACCAAGCCUUCGAUCAGUAACUGGUGUGAGAGCACGACCAGUCACACGGGCACUGAGACACGGGCCCGACUCCUACGGGAGGCAGCAGUAAGGAAUAUUGGACAAUGGGCGAAAGCCUGAUCCAGCAAUGCCGCGUGAGUGAUGAAGGCCCUAGGGUUGUAAAGCUCUUUUACCAGGGAUGAUAAUGACAGUACCUGGAGAAUAAGCUCCGGCUAACUCCGUGCCAGCAGCC